Molecule: long non-coding RNA, 5699 nt
Organism: Hypanus sabinus (Atlantic stingray)
Lineage: Eukaryota; Metazoa; Chordata; Chondrichthyes; Myliobatiformes; Dasyatidae
Exons: 3
Source: RefSeq, a predicted model, not a curated record
UCUGUGUAAACAAAGAAUGAACUCAUAGUUGGGCGCAUGAGUAAGGUGCAGGAGAGCUACACCUACUGAAAACUGGAAAAUAGUUGGUCCCUGAACGUUAUCAUGAUGUCAAAGGUUGCAGAAUUCAUCGAGGCUUCAAAAGCACCAGAGGUACACUCAGAAGCAACCUUCGUGCUCCGGGAUCUGUGUUUCAAAAACGCUCACGUCCAUAGUUCCUUCAAAGUUGCCACACAAGUUGGUGAGUGAGGACAGUGUGUAGUGCUGUGGCUAUGGCAUCAUCAGUAAACUGGUCCCAUUGUUCGGCGAAUUGUAAAGGUUCCAGUGUGGGUGGUGGCAUGCUGCAGAUGUAGUCUUUAACCAGCUGCUCAAAGCAUUUGCUUAUUAUUGAGGACUUGCAUGACUGACAGUAGUGAAAACCAAGAGGAGGUUACAGACAUGAUGAAGGAAGCCCUGGACACCACCAGAGAUGGAGGACCUUUGUUGCUGCCAUAAACAUCAACGAUGUAAUGGACAGUAAGCAAGUAAAUAGUCACAGGACCAAUUAACCUACUAACUGAUCUGUCUUUGGACUUUGAAAGGAAACCAGAGCACCCAGAGGAAACCCAUGCAGUCCACAGUGAGAACAUACAAACUCCUUACAGACAGUGCCGGAAUUGAACUCUGAACUCCAACCCCCCCAAGCUGUAAUAGUGUCAGACUAACUGCUGAGCUACCGUGCCACCCUAGGGUAAGUUGAAGGUACUCCAUUUCCCUCUAAUAUAUUGCAAGUGGAAUCUCAUGACCAUGCAAUUUGGACAGGAUCAUGAGUACAAUUAAGCACUGAUAUUCACUCAACAGCCACUGAAUGUUUGUUCAUGGUCUUCUGUAGUUCAUCCACUUCAAGGUUCAAAAUGUCAUGUGUUCAGAGAUCCACUUCUGCACACUAUUGUUGUAAUAUGUGGUUAUAUGAGUUGCUGUUGCCUUCCUGUCAGCCUGAACCUGCCUGGCCAUUCUUCUCCAAACUCUCUCAUUAACAAGGUAUUUUCACCCACAGAACUGCCACUCAUUGGUUAUUUUUUGUUUUUCACACCAUUCUCUGUAAACUCUUCUAGACACCGUUGUGUGUGAAAACCCCAGGAGAUCAGUAGUUUCUGAAAUACCCAAACCACCUCGCCUGGCACCAACAAUCAGUCCAUGGUCAACAUCACUUAGGUCACAUUUCUUCCCCAUUCUGAUGUUCAGUCUGAGCAACAACUGAACCUCUUGACCACAUCUGCAUGCUUUUAUGCUUUGAGUUACCGCCACAUGAUUGGUUGUUUAGGUAUUUGCGUUAAUGAGCAGGUGUGCAGGUGUACCUAAUAAAGUGGCCACUUUGAGAGUGAAGAUUCUAAAGUGCAACAUCUCAGACAAAAGCCCAAUUAAAAUUUAUUAUCAAAGUACUUAACUGAAAAAAGAAACACCAUAGAAUUUAUGAAAAGCUGUCAAUUAACAAAGACUGGUAAACAACUAAUGUGCAAAAGAAGGCAAUUCUGCAAAUUGAACAAUAUACCGAGAAGAUGGGUUGCAGAGGCUGGAAAAUGAGCCUCAAUUGUGGUAUCAGUUCUACGUAACAGCAUAAAGAGAAACUAUUACUGAGGUAGUACAGAACAUGGAGCAUAGACCGGUACAGCACAGGCGCAGACCCUAUAAAUUAGUUAUCAAAUGGCUGAUUACUUCUGCUUACACAAUAUCCAUAUCUUCCCAUUUCUUCACAUUUAUUUGCCUGUCUAAACAUCUCUUAAAAGUCCCUAAUCUUUCUGCCUCUUCCACCACUGCAUUUUAGGCACACACCACACUCCAUGUAAAAAAAACUUGCCCCUCAUGUCUCCUUUGAAAUUAACCCCUCUCACCUCAAAUACAUACCCUCUGGUAUUAGACAUCUCAACCCCUGCAAAAAGAUUCUGUCAUCUACCCUAUCUACGGCUCUCAUAAUCUUAUAGACGUGGUGAGGUCCUACAAGAUCCUGGGGGUGUACCUGGUUGACAGACUUAAGUGGAGCACCAACACAGAGGCUGUGUACAAGAAGGGCCAGAGUCGCCUCUACUUCCUGAGGUCCUUUGGAGCAUGCAGGCCUCUCCUUCACAUGUUCUACCAGUCUGUCGUCGCCAGUACAAUCUUCUGUGCAGUGGUGUGCUGGGGCAAUGGCAUCAACACGGGUGAUGCUAACAGGCUGAUAAACUGACUAGAAAGGCUGCCUUGUUAUAGGAGUCAAGCUGGACACACUGGAGGCCGUGGAAGUGAUGACCCUCUUCCUUCUGUAAGACUGUUUGAGGUAACUCAUUAUUCAUUCUUUCUUACUCCUCUUCUAAUAUUUGUGUAUCUGUGCACUUGAAAUGCUACUGUGACACAAUCAUUUCCUUUGGGAUCAAUAAAGUAUCUAAAUAUCCAUCAGAUUUCCCCUCAACCUCCACUGCUCUAAAGAAAACAACCCAAGUUUGUCCAACUUCUUGUUAUAGCACACGCCCUCUAAACCAGGCAGCAUCCUGGUGAACCUCUUCUGCACCCUCUCCAAAGCCUCAACGUCCUUCUUACAAAGGGGAGAACAAAACUAUAUGUAAUACUCCAGAUGAGGUCUAACUAGAGUUUUAUAAAGCUGCAACAUAAUUUCCUCACUUUUGAUUGCAAUGCUUUGACUAAUAAACAAGAGGGAAAGUUGUGAAGAUGACAAAAAUGUCAGUAAACAUCUCUUGUUCUAAAGAGCAGUGGAAACCUGGAGCUCUCUGCAUUUUCUCAUCAAUGGCUAGUGGUUCAACUGAAAAAUCCAGAACCUCUACUGACAGAUUUUUGUUAGCUGAUGGACUAGGACAGAAGACACCACCAAGGAUAAAUAGAGUCAAAAAUGUAUACCUCAUUGAAUGACUAAAUGUUAAAUAGCCUCAUUCCCGUGUUGUUUCCCAUCUUCUUAGAUCAGGGCUCUGGACCUGUACUCGAUGGAGUUCAGAAGGAUGACGGGGGCAUCUCAUUUUCAUUGGGUGGAUUUAAGGCAGAGAUUAAUGGAGUCUGGAGGGGUUUCUUAAGGUUGAUAAAGGGUUCCAGCUCCCACUGCUUAUCACAUGCUCUCAAUGGUGUGAGCCUCAAAUAGUCUCUGAUAACCAAGUCCAGCUCCUGACCUUCAUGUGUGGCUUAGCAGCUAAGCUUAGAAGAACCAUUUCUACCAAUGGGAGAAGGGAAAAGCCGGGUUACUGGUGCCUUAAAACCAGUUGCUUCAGGCACAGUUGGCAGCUCAUCUGGGAGAAGGAAAACUCUGAUCUCAAACCUCUGCUGCCUUGCGGCGAUACCCACUCAUGGGAAAAGCUUCAGGUGUAAACACCGAGGGAAAAAUCCAGAGCUGGAGUCCCUACGGCAGUCUUACAUGGAUCAAUCCUGACUGGCAACUCCUGCGGCAUUGCUGGUGCCAAAUCUGUAUCAGUCUCUGCCGUUCUAUUGCGUUCACCAGAUGAGUGGAGAAGGGGAGCUUGGUACACAGGCAACAGCUUGUACUGCCCUGGACUGUGUAUCUAGACAGCUAGGACACAACAUCCAUGGUCAACCCUGAGCAACAGAGGCUUCAGUUAGGGGCUAAAAGGCUAUGAGGAGAAGAAGGGAGAACGGAGUUAAGAAAAACAAAUCAGUUGUGAUAGAAUUGCCAGAGCAGAUUUGAUGGGCUGAAUGGCAACACUGUACCCCUAUAAUCUUUUAGUCUUAAGGUCUAUAUUUGGCUUUUUGUUCCUGUAUUAGAAUUGAUCUAGUCUGACUCCUUUUAUGUCUUCUUGUUUUUGGGUUUCUAAGCAACUCGCUUUAGGAAAUUUCAGUCCAUGGCUUUCUCUUGUGCCAAGAUGAGACCAUCCUCAGGGUGGAGAAGCAACAACUUGAAUUCCAUAUAUAAUCCUUAUAUUUCUCCUUCUGGUAAACUAAUUCCCCCCUCACCCUUUCUCUGUUCCCGACUCUGACCUUUUACACCUUCUCACCUGCUAUUACUCCCCCCAGAUCCCCUCCUCCUUCCCUCUCCCCUAUGGUCCUUUCUCCUCUCCUAUCAGAUUCCUUCCUCUCCAGCCCUUUAUCUUUCCCACCCACCUAGCUUCACCUAUCACCUUCUAGCUAGCCUUCUUCCCCUCCCCCCCCCCACCUUUUGCUCCCCUUUCCUCCUCAGCCCUGAAGAAGGGUCAUGGCCCAAAAUGUCAACUGCUUAUUCAUUUCCAAAGAUGCUACCUGACACACUGAGUUCCUGCAACAUUUUGUGAUUUUGUGUGUGUGCUCCCUUGGGAAAUGUUGCAAAAGGAAUAUAGAGCUCACAACAUCCUCCAGCACAGGAAUAAGCCCUUUGCCCCAUGACGUCUGUAAAUUAUAAAGACUGUCAAAGGAUGAAAGUGACAUUUUGGCAGGGAAGUCCAAAGCUUAGGUUUCAGGGAACUGAGAAAUAGCAACUAAUGACUGAAUAAAAAAUCAUAGAGUCAUGGAGAAUGGAAACAGGUCCUUCAAACCCACUCGAUACCAAUACUUAUUUACAUUUCUCUCACUUUAUUCUUCACACACAUUCCUGUCCUCUCUCCCCACUCACCUACACACCAGAGGUAAUUUACGGUGGUGACCAGUUCACCUACCACCAUGAACGUCGUUGGGAAGCAGGAAACUGAAGCACCUGUACAAGACAUACAGCAAUAUAUAUCAGCUGGUUGAGUGGUGUUGCAGUAAUAACCUUGCACUCAGUGUUAAUAAGACCAAAGAACUGAUUGUGGACUUCAGAAAGAGUAAGACAAGGGGACACAUGCCAGUCCUCAUAGGGGGAUCAGAAGUGGAAAGAGUGGACAGUUUCGAGUAUCUGGGUCUGAGUAUCUCUGAGGAUCUAUCCUGGGCCCAACAUAUUGAUACAGCUGCAAAGAAGGCUCAACAGUGGCUAUAUUUCAUUCGGGGUUUGAGGAGAUUUGGUGUGUCUCCAAAGACACUCAUGAAUUUCUACAGAUGUACCAUGGAGUAACUGGCUGUACCACCAUCUGGUAUGGGGGGAGAGGGCCACUGCACAGGAUCGAAAUAAGCUGCAGAAAGUUGUAAACUCAGUCAGCUCCAUCAUGGAUUCUAGCCUCCAUUGUAUCCAGGACAUCUUCAAGGAGCGAUGGUGGCGUCCAUCAUUAAGGUCACCAAGGUCGUACCUCACUCCCACUGGUACCAUCAGGGAGAAGGUACAGGAGCCUGAAGACAAACACUCAAUGAUGAGGGAGCAGCUUCCUCUCCUCUGCCAUCAGAUUUCUGAAUGGAUAUUGAAUAUAUGAACACUACUUCACUACUUUUUUAUUUCUAAUUCUGCACAACUUAUUUCAUUAAACUUUAAAAAUAUAUAUAUGCUUACUGUAAUCUGUGUUUUUUUCUAAAAUAUUGCUGCCGCAAAGACAACCAAUUUCAUGAUGUGUACUGGUGAUAUUAAACCUGAUUCUGAUACUGACCUGGAUGCAAUCAGGUUCAGGGAGGACGUACAAAUUCCUAACGGCAGCACCGGUGGCCGGGAUCAAAACCUGGCCACUGGGACUGUGAGGCAGCAACUCGACUAGCUUCAUCUGUACGUCGCCCGUGAGAGCGGCGGUUCAGAACAGAAUUAGAAGCAGGUGCAGGUCUCAGAGAAGUGUUCAAGACGGAGUACGGUGUGCUGGCAUUCAUUAGUCAGUGUGGGGGUGGGAUUGAGCCUUGAGGUAAUGUUGCAGUUCUAUAAA